RNAcentral lists this transfer RNA (65 nucleotides) under Hospitalitermes sp. C TB-2017. Its description in RNAcentral is "tRNA-Arg". The record is from RNAcentral. Lineage: Eukaryota; Metazoa; Arthropoda; Insecta; Blattodea; Termitidae.
AAGUGGGAAGCAAAUAUUGCAAUCAGUUUCGACCUGAUCUUAGAUAAUAAUUUUAUCCCCACUUU